This 497-nucleotide ribosomal RNA is filed under the name uncultured bacterium. RNAcentral's name for it is "partial 16S ribosomal RNA". It matches the Rfam family "Bacterial small subunit ribosomal RNA", at positions 28 to 507 of the family's 1533-position model. The record is from RNAcentral.
GAUGAACGCUGGCGGCGUGCCUAAUACAUGAAAGUCGAGCGAACGGACGAGAAGCUUGCUUCUCUGAUGUUAGCGGCGGACGGGGGAGUAACACGUGGAUAACCUACCUAUAAGACUGGGAUAACUUCGGGAAACCGGAGCUAAUACCGGAUAAUAUUUUGAACCGCAUGGUUCAAAAGUGAAAGACGGUCUUGCUGUCACUUUGAGAUGGAUCCGCGCUGCAUUAGCUAGUUGGUAAGGUAACGGCUUACCAAGGCAACGAUGCAUAGCCGACCUGAGAGGGUGAUCGGCCACACUGGAACUGAGACACGGUCCAGACUCCUACGGGAGGCAGCAGUAGGGAAUCUUCCGCAAUGGGCGAAAGCCUGACGGAGCAACGCCGCGUGAGUGAUGAAGGUCUUCGGAUCGUAAAACUCUGUUAUUAGGGAAGAACAUAUGUGUAAGUAACUGUGCACAUCUUGACGGUACCUAAUCAGAAAGCCACGGCUAACUACGUG